This 1075-nucleotide long non-coding RNA is filed under the name Fragaria vesca (wild strawberry). RNAcentral describes it as "long non-coding RNA (FVES_LNC000304)". The record is from RNAcentral. Lineage: Eukaryota; Viridiplantae; Streptophyta; Magnoliopsida; Rosales; Rosaceae.
AGGCAGUUUGUUUACUCAACCCCAGACGGAGGUGUCUGCCACCCCGUAUGCCUGAGAUACACCGGGCGCCCACUUCAGGUCCUACUUCUUCGGAUAGUGGGUCAUCUGGGGUACAGAUGCCGCCGCCUCACCUAUUCCUUCCGCGGAUGAUACCGGCCAUACCUGCAGUCGAUGACUCAUGGACGCCGAUUUAUCCACUGCCCCCGCCAGUAGCUCCAUCAGCGGCGUACCGGUUCGUGCCUUUUGAUACGCCUCUUAUUUUCGCGAAGGUAUCAUCAUCGGAGACAGAAUCCGUCGCGUCCGCCGCAUCGCCCUCAGGUAAUGAAAGAUGAAUGAUUUGUUUUCUUAUAAUUCUCUAAUUUUUAUAAUCAAUUUGGUUUAUCAUGUGAUAGGCACCGUCGGAGCGAAGCCGGCAAAAAAGAAGAGAGGCCCCGUCACAGGGAAGGCUCUCGAGAAGAUCGUCGGUACCUCAGGGAGGAUCGUCAUCGAUACUGACAGAGAUGGCCACAUAGUAUCGGGCGGGAAGUCGAGGAAGUACUCCGGCCGCGUGGGAGCGCUCAUUAGGGAUAAAGUCCCUAUGUUGUGGUCAGACUUGGGCGAGGUCCCGCAGGAGGUUAAGGACAUGGUCCACAACGCAAUGUCGGUGAGUUUACAAAAUGCCUCAAUAAUAUUAUGUAUUACAUUGUAGAUUUCAUGAAAAACUAAACUAAUAAACGGUUAAAUACAUGUGUGGUUUGAGGUUCCCGAGCCUCUGAAGAGCAGCUGGGCGGACUUUGUGCAUGGGGGAAGGUACGUUGGAAAGUUAAUGAAAAAACAAAAUUGUUUGUGAUAUUAAUAAUAUUUCUAAUAUUUUUGUUGUAUCUGUAGGUACAAGGAGUGGAAGAACGAGUUGCGGACCCAUUGGACUACGCACGGGAACACACGUUCUGGUACCCCUACUGAGUUCCAGUACAGAGAGUACGAGUGGCGUUGGCUGCUGACAUCAGAAUUCAACAACCCUCGUAAACAGGUAUUUAAAAAAUUAAUUAGUUAAUUUGUCAUUAAGUACGUGCGUUUUUAAAUAUUUUACUAAUAG